Molecule: ribosomal RNA, 785 nt
Filed under: uncultured bacterium
Lineage: Bacteria
Description: bacterial SSU rRNA
Rfam family: Bacterial small subunit ribosomal RNA
Source: RNAcentral
CUUGCUUCUCUUGAGAGCGGCGGACGGGUGAGUAAUGCCUAGGAAUCUGCCUGGUAGUGGGGGAUAACGUUCGGAAACGGACGCUAAUACCGCAUACGUCCUACGGGAGAAAGCAGGGGACCUUCGGGCCUUGCGCUAUCAGAUGAGCCUAGGUCGGAUUAGCUAGUUGGUGGGGUAAUGGCUCACCAAGGCGACGAUCCGUAACUGGUCUGAGAGGAUGAUCAGUCACACUGGAACUGAGACACGGUCCAGACUCCUACGGGAGGCAGCAGUGGGGAAUAUUGGACAAUGGGCGAAAGCCUGAUCCAGCCAUGCCGCGUGUGUGAAGAAGGUCUUCGGAUUGUAAAGCACUUUAAGUUGGGAGGAAGGGUUGUAGAUUAAUACUCUGCAAUUUUGACGUUACCGACAGAAUAAGCACCGGCUAACUCUGUGCCAGCAGCCGCGGUAAUACAGAGGGUGCAAGCGUUAAUCGGAAUUACUGGGCGUAAAGCGCGCGUAGGUGGUUUGUUAAGUUGGAUGUGAAAUCCCCGGGCUCAACCUGGGAACUGCAUUCAAAACUGACUGACUAGAGUAUGGUAGAGGGUGGUGGAAUUUCCUGUGUAGCGGUGAAAUGCGUAGAUAUAGGAAGGAACACCAGUGGCGAAGGCGACCACCUGGACUAAUACUGACACUGAGGUGCGAAAGCGUGGGGAGCAAACAAGAUUAGAUACCCUGGUAGUCCACGCCGUAAACGAUGUCAACUAGCCGUUGGAAGCCUUGAGCUUUUAGUGGCGCAGCUACGCAUU